Molecule: non-coding RNA, 1940 nt
Organism: Anas platyrhynchos (mallard)
Lineage: Eukaryota; Metazoa; Chordata; Aves; Anseriformes; Anatidae
Source: RefSeq, a predicted model, not a curated record
CCUAGGGCAUGCCCAAAGAGCUUGAAGCAGAGCAUCCGCAGGAUAUUGCAGAAGAUUAGAAGCUGUAGGAACUCAGGCAAAGUUUUUGAAGGCCUUUGUUUGCAGUUAGUCUAACUGGCGCUGACAGCAGGGAGAACACCACUGGCAUGCCCAAAACCCACACCCCCCAGCUGGUCACGCUGCAGGUUCCUGGGCUUUGCAGUUCGUCAGUUCUCACACAAGGACCUCUGUCACGAGAAGGUUGUUUAUGAUCAGGAAUUGAAAGAAGCCUUGUUUAUCCUCACUCCGCAGUCAGAAGAGGUAUAGCCUUGGAAAAGUCAUUCUCAGGUACAGAGCUGCGGAGUCCUUGUUGCUUCACCAAGAGGGAUACAGAAACCUAUGCAGAAUUCAACCCCAUCCCUAAUUCUGUCUCCACAAGUGGAUGAGCCAAACUUUAUUCCUCUUAGAGAGUUUUGCAAAGCUCUUGCUGCAGCACUUGCAAAGGAUCUGACUCUGAGAUCAGCAACCCUGGUGUUGACCAGGAGCACCUCUCGCUUUCUCACUCUGCUCGCUGGUGCAGACAACAACUCUGAGUGAUGCUGCUAGACAAAUGGUGGGAAGGGGACACAGCCGCGGCAUUGUGGAGGACGUGCAGAUGACUCAUCCGUUUAAACAGCUAAAAGCAGAUUUCUCCAGCAGCUACAGAAGGAGAUGAUCCAAUUCACGCAGAAGAUAAUUGCCAGGGCUCUCAACAGAAGGCAAGGGCUCUGCAGCAGAAGAGAUGGUGCUCACACGAGACCAUGAAAGGCCUUGAGGAACACAAGUGCCGAUGUUUUCUCAACCAAACACAGCUGAGCUCUGUUAUCUAAUUCACAAGCUAUAGAUUCUGUGUUUCCCAAGGGGAGGGGAUUGCAUUAAUUACUUAUGAAUCAAUUGAUCUGCUGCUAUUUCAGGAACAUCUACCUCAUGGCUCUGUAAUGGAGAUGAUUCCCAAACAGCAGCUCCCUUACUUAACACAAGUCACCCCUGAAGAAGAGCAGGGCAAGGGCCUGCAGCGCAGGGCACUUUCAGGAUGCAGGGCACACUCAUACAAAGUACUGACCGUAUCUAUUCCUCACCUUGUUCUUGCACCCCAAUCUAUAUCAGCAGUUGUGAAUUGUCACCACUGGGAGUGAGACUGUUAUACCCAUCUUACUCUGGCAGAAAUGAGGACAGCAGGAAAAAUACACCCACUUCAGGUAUGGCCAGAAGAAGGGAUGCAGACCUCCAGAGAGCAACCAACACACAUUAAAGAAGACCUCAGGGAUCUCGUACAGAGUUGUUGGCAGACAGCUGCAGGACUGGGGAAGGCAAAUACAUGCUUUAUAACCUUUUUGCAGCCCUGGACUGUUCUAAUAUUUUUGGGCAGACCCUGCAUUUGCCCCCUUGUAUUUGACAUGGGCAAUAGUUUUCUAUUUUGAAACGCAUAACCCAGUUGGUUUUCCAUCAGAGAUCCCUGUGGCUUCCUCCCAGUUUCAUCUUCCAUAUGACCUGAAAGUGCAUUAAAGUGUUGAGAUUAACAUUUCUUUAAAAAAAAAUAUGUAAACAAGAUACUUGGCAUGCACUAGAUGACACUGCUCAUUAAUGAACCUGGACCGCUAUGGCAGGGUGUAAAAUCACUCCUAGGGUUCUGUUUAGACCCUCCCAAAAGCCACAGUUCAAUCCGGGCAGUUGCUACACUUCCUAUAAAUAUGGAAUGUCUUAUAGAAGACAAAAGCAUGUUUUUUUUUUCUCAUUUAUCACCCUAAACCAGAUCCACAGCAAGCAAGUCUGCACGUGUAAAAGAUCAAUGGCAUAUUGCCAGUUUAUAUCCACCACAGCCCAAGCCCAAAGUAUCUGGUGGAUGCUGACUCUGUGUGCUCUGUGUAGGAAGCACACACAGAUUUCUUUCUGAGCCAUCACAAUAGAAACUGUCCCUGUAU